RNAcentral lists this ribosomal RNA (253 nucleotides) under uncultured bacterium. RNAcentral describes it as "partial 16S ribosomal RNA". It matches the Rfam family "Bacterial small subunit ribosomal RNA", at positions 524 to 776 of the family's 1533-position model. The record is from RNAcentral.
UACGGAGGGUGCAAGCGUUAUCCGGAUUUACUGGGUUUAAAGGGUGCGUAGGCGGGCAGGUAAGUCAGUGGUGAAAUCUCCGGGCUUAACCCGGAAACUGCCGUUGAUACUAUCUGUCUUGAAUAUUGUGGAGGUAAGCGGAAUAUGUCAUGUAGCGGUGAAAUGCUUAGAUAUGACAUAGAACACCAAUUGCGAAGGCAGCUUACUACACAGUUAUUGACGCUGAGGCACGAAAGCGUGGGGAUCAAACAGG